UGGGGAAUAUUGCACAAUGGGGGGAAACCCUGAUGCAGCGACGCCGCGUGAAGGAAAGAAGUAUCUCGGUAUGUAAACUUCUAUCAGCAGGGAAGAUAAUGACGGUACCUGACUAAGAAGCCCCGGCUAACUACGUGCC
This 139-nucleotide ribosomal RNA is filed under the name uncultured bacterium. RNAcentral's name for it is "partial 16S ribosomal RNA". It matches the Rfam family "Bacterial small subunit ribosomal RNA", at positions 355 to 509 of the family's 1533-position model. The record is from RNAcentral.